AGGGAGGUCAACCUGAAGUCCACCGAAACGCCCGCGCGGAAUCCCCCGGGAUGAAGCGCGGAUGACUGAGUGGCGGACGGGUGAGUCACGCGUGGGCAACCUGCCCCGUGCCGGGGGACAACAGCCGGAAACGGCUGCUAAUACCGCAUGAUCCGGGAGGGCCGCAUGGCCCUGCCGGGAAAGCUCCGGCGGCACGGGAUGGGCCCGCGUCUGAUUAGUUUGUUGGCGGGGUAACGGCCCACCAAGACUGCGAUCAGCAGCCGGCCUGAGAGGGCGGCCGGCCACAUUGGGACUGAGACACGGCCCAGACUCCUGCGGGAGGCAGCAGUGGGGAAUAUUGCACAAUGGGGGAAACCCUGAUGCAGCGACGCCGCGUGGGCGGCGAAGCGCUCCGGCGCGUAAAGCCCUGUCAGCAGGGAAGAAAAAAGACAGUACCUGACCAAGAAGCCCCGGCUAACUAUGUGCCAGCAGCCGCGGUAAUACGUAGGGGGCAAGCGUUAUCCGGAUUCACUGGGCGUAAAGGGAGCGCAGGCGGCACGGCAAGUCUGGUGUGAAAGCCCGGGGCCCAACCCCGGGACUGCAUUGGAAACUGCCGGGCUGGAGUGCCGGAGGGGUAAGCGGAAUUCCUGGUGUAGCGGUGAAAUGCGCAG
This 650-nucleotide ribosomal RNA is filed under the name uncultured bacterium. RNAcentral's name for it is "bacterial SSU rRNA". It matches the Rfam family "Bacterial small subunit ribosomal RNA", at positions 69 to 693 of the family's 1533-position model. The record is from RNAcentral.